UCAAGCCGCGCAGGCGACUCUUUCGAGGGCCGCCUCGCACUUUUUCAAGGUUGACCUCGGAUCAGGUAGGACUACCCGCUGAACUUAAGCAUAUCAAUAAGCGGAGGAAAAGAAACCAACAGGGAUUGCCCCAGUAACGGCGAGUGAAGCGGCAACAGCUCAAAUUUGAAAUCUGGCCCUCGGGUCCGAGUUGUAAUUUGGAGAGGAUGCUUUUGGCGCGGCGCCGUCCGAGUUCCUUGGAACAGGACGCCAUAGAGGGUGAGAGCCCCGUACGGGCGGCCGCCUAGCCUUUGUAAAGCUCCUUCGACGAGUCGAGUAGUUUGGGAAUGCUGCUCAAA
This 338-nucleotide ribosomal RNA is filed under the name Ophiostoma tetropii. RNAcentral's name for it is "eukaryotic LSU rRNA". The stretch from base 52 to 338 matches the Rfam family "Eukaryotic large subunit ribosomal RNA", at positions 1 to 291 of the family's 3401-position model. The record is from RNAcentral. Lineage: Eukaryota; Fungi; Ascomycota; Sordariomycetes; Ophiostomatales; Ophiostomataceae.